Molecule: ribosomal RNA, 254 nt
Filed under: uncultured bacterium
Lineage: Bacteria
Description: partial 16S ribosomal RNA
Rfam family: Bacterial small subunit ribosomal RNA
Source: RNAcentral
UACGGGGGGGGGCAAGCGUUGUUCGGAAUUACUGGGCGUAAAGGGCGCGUAGGCGGUCCGCUAAGUUAGAUGUGAAAACUCUGGGCUCAACCCAGAGCCUGCAUCUAAUACUGACGGGCUAGAGUUCUGGAGGGGGUAGCGGAAUUCCUGGUGUAGCGGUGAAAUGCGUAGAUAUCAGGAGGAACACCGGUGGCGAAGGCGGCUACCUGGACAGAAACUGACGCUGAGGCGCGAAAGCUAGGGGAGCAAACAGG